This 268-nucleotide unclassified non-coding RNA is filed under the name uncultured fungus. RNAcentral's name for it is "partial contains 5.8S ribosomal RNA, internal transcribed spacer 2, and large subunit ribosomal RNA". The stretch from base 1 to 52 matches the Rfam family "5.8S ribosomal RNA", at positions 103 to 154 of the family's 154-position model. RNAcentral also lists the same sequence under 1 other name. The record is from RNAcentral. Lineage: Eukaryota; Fungi.
AACGCACAUUGCGCCCGCCAGUACUCUGGCGGGCAUGCCUGUCUGAGCGUCAUUUCAACCCUCGCCCCCGGCUUCUGUCGGGGACGGUGUUGGGGAUCGGCCUCCCGUCUUCCGGGUGGCCGGCCCCUAAAUUGAGUGGCGACCACGCCGUAACCUCCUCUGCGUAGUAGUUAAACACUCGCGGGCGGAGAGCGGUGCGGCCUGCCGUAAAACCCCCAACUCUUCUAAGGUUGACCUCAGAUCAGGUAGGAAUACCCGCUGAACUUAA